This is a long non-coding RNA of Perognathus longimembris pacificus (Pacific pocket mouse), 530 nucleotides long. RefSeq lists it as uncharacterized. NCBI's taxonomy places the organism in Eukaryota, Metazoa, Chordata, Mammalia, Rodentia, Heteromyidae. The record is from RefSeq and is a predicted model, not a curated record. The transcript is spliced from 3 exons.
AAAAAGCCAGAAUGUGAGCCUUGAGUGAAAAAGCUAAGGGACAGCGCCCAGACCUUAGUGGCCAGGGCCCAAGUUCAAUACGAGUCCACUCAGUAGGUCACUGUCUCAUGUGGUAACAUUUCUGAAGUGGUUUCGGGUUUGUGUGUGAGUGUGUGUGCACGUGCUCAAGUGCUUUACCAUUUGAGCAAUGCCACCAGCCCUGUAGGGUUUUAUUUGACUUAAAGAGUAACUGCACUUUCUCUGAUGCCCAAUUACUUACUCAGUGACUGUCAUGAUAGAUUUUUGGCAAUGGUCACAUCACUCUGUAUAAUAACUACUAGUUUACCUGCCCCCCCCCCCCCACCCCGCCCCACUACAGAGCUCCUCAAAGUUAGGGACAGCAUCCCUGGUCCCAGAGGAAACAAAAAGAAAGGCUCUGGAAACGUGUCUGCAUUAGGGCGCCAUGACGGGUGCCAAAUGAAUACUUAAGAAAUCCUUGCUGGCCUAUACGUUUUCUUGAAAAGAGUUUUAAAAUGCAAUUCCCCAGAAAA